GUGAAAGAUGCCGCUACGUGAGGACAUUUUAUUUUAUCACCCUUAACGUGGCCCAUUAUUGUCUAUGAACAUUCUGAAUUAGGUCCCCUGCGGCUCUCCUGAAUUUUCCAUGGCCUGCCUUAUGCGGUGCACGUCGCGUUUGAUGGCCAGGCUUUCCGAGGCGAGAUCAGACAUCACGUAAACCCCCCCCUCCCAUCCCACCUUGUCCGGUGGCCACCCCAUUCACCGGUGGAACGGUCCACUUUGGCAAGGCUCUCGAAGGCUAAGUGAAGCAGCAAACUGCUGGGCCCGAGCAGAGGACCUUACGGUCUAAAAGGCAUCUUCUUCACAGCGACGUUCUCCGCUUCUCUCAUGCCUGCGGUAUCCCGGAAGAAA
This is a long non-coding RNA of Paramormyrops kingsleyae, 375 nucleotides long. RefSeq lists it as uncharacterized. The record is from RefSeq and is a predicted model, not a curated record. NCBI's taxonomy places the organism in Eukaryota, Metazoa, Chordata, Actinopteri, Osteoglossiformes, Mormyridae.